CCUAUUUUCAAAAAAAAUUCUCUUUUCAUAGAAGAUUUAUUUAUUUUCCUUUUUCCACCGGUUCUAAUAAAUCCUACGAUAUUAAUCAGUGUUGUAUUUACUUUACUGUCAUCAUUCCACAUUGGCUGACAAUAAUACAACCCUGAAGUGGCAUCACCUUUUUUUGGUCCGGAAUGUUGUACUGACCGUCUCCGCCUUAUUUUUGAGACAGUGGCUGAUAACUCGGUUGGUGCGACGAACUGUCGACGGUUUUUUAAAGAAAAUACAAUUAAUUGACCUAUAAAUCACAUGCAACAAUACUUCCCCAUUUUGAUUUCAGUCAAUCAAAAUGGUGAUGUUCGUGACUUAUUUGUCUGUUUUUGUUUUAUAUAAUUUAUAAAUUUGCCUAAAGUGAUGGAAACCCGUGGUAAAAAAAAUUAGGGGGACUUACUGUCGGCCACGCAAUAGAAAGGAAAUGGAAGAAGUCAUUUUCAGAAUAUGAAAUUCAGAUUUUCUUCAAUUUGGAAAACUCGUAUUUGCUCUUUGUAUGUAAAUGCGUAUUUAAUAUAAGGACGGAUUUUCCAAUGGACAUGUUCGGUUUAUUAACAUUUUAUUACCCAUAAGCGUUAGUAUUUUCGGAGCAGUAUUGGUGGUGUAUAAUCUCUUGUUAUGAACACAAAGCGGUUGGCGUGG
Molecule: long non-coding RNA, 672 nt
Organism: Musca domestica (house fly)
Lineage: Eukaryota; Metazoa; Arthropoda; Insecta; Diptera; Muscidae
Exons: 3
Source: RefSeq, a predicted model, not a curated record